AAGAAAAACACAAACCCACUCUCAACGACAGUCUCCGCCAAGCAGUGCUUUCAACUUAACUGGAGGAAAAAUAUGUCACUUCACUGGAGAAACCACUGAAAUUCCGCAGCACUUUUCACUACUAGCAACUUAUUGUAUCUCCAUCUUUCCCAACGAUCCUGCUCUGUGCAAAGAGGCAACGUAUGAUCAGAAGUGGCAUGUGAGCCGGCGCAUCAGAUGCUUUCCUGUUCCGUGAUGUGAAAGCCCCAAGACGAAGAGGAACAAAAAAUAAAAACCGUUUCAAAAGUGGGAUCCAGAGCCACGUGUUCAGCAUCCGGAUGGGAAGAGAAGCAUGUCCAAGCCUGUCAUGCUCAGGAGCCAUGGGCAAAAGGGCAGGUGCCUGAACAGGCUGAGAAAAAGAGGCUCUUGAUGAAUCUUCAGUCUUAAAUGACAGGGUGGGAUUUUGGAAGAAAUCAGACAGCUGGAAGCCAAAUGUUUAAUAGAAUAGCAAUCUCUUGCAAUGUUGAGGAGGGUAAUGAAGAAGAAUGAAAUGGGGGUAGAAAGCAGUCAACUAAUAAAAAGGCUCCUUUCAGGAACUGGAAGACCACAAUUAGGUAACCGCGAAGCCUUCUCUUCUCCAGGGUGAACUAUCCCAAUUCUCUCAGCCUUUCCUAAUAGGGGAGAUGCUCUAUACCUCUAAUCAUCUUGGUGGUCCACCUCUGGAAUCGCUCCAACAGAUCAAUGUACUUCCUAUUCUGGGGACCCCAGAGCUGGAUUCAAGGGAGAGUCUCAUGAGAGUGGAGAAGAGGAGCAGAAUGAUAUCCUCAACCUGCUGGCCACACUGCAUUUGACACAGCCCAGAACAUGGUUGUCUUUCAGGCUGCAAGCGCACAUUGCUGGCUCAUGUCCAGUCUCUCUUUUGUUAUGUAGCUGCAAAUGUUAAAAACAUGCUAAGUGAAAUACAUAUUUUGCCUGGGCAUCCUUAAAAAAAAGAAAGAAAUAGAAUUUAUAAAGCCAUUAUAGGAAAUGUUUUGCCUCUAUUUUAAGGGUUUCAGAAACUGGUGCAGUGUCAUGGCUCCAGUGCUACUCUUUUGAAACACCAAAUUAUUCUUAUAUGAAGGAGCCUACAUCUUUGAAACUGGAGAUUUCUAACUUCAGCUUACAUCUCCUGGAUUUUGACUGAGGUAGGAGUGGAGAAGAAGGGAAUAUUUUCUGGCUUGGUUACCCCUUAGAGGAGAUUGGGAUAACAUUCUCAGCAGUUGCAUGUUUUACUUUCUUCUCGGUUAGAUCACUGGUAUUACUGAGCGUUGGGUUUGGGAGAGAGGGAGGUGUUUGUUUUUUUGGCUAAGUUUUUUAUUAUUACCCAGAUGUAUUGUUUAAACAUUCUGAGGGGUGAAGAAGUAUAGUUUGCAGUAAAAAACUAUAUGCUUACUGAAUCCUUUUUAAAGUCUGAGUGUAUGCUGUCAAAAGGUGCAGAUUUGAAAAUGUUUCAUUUUAGUUGAUAAAUUUUUCACAGCUCCCUUUGCUAAAAUUGGUAACCUACCUACCACACCAUAUAUGAUGGAACUAUUACCCUGCUUCGGAACAGGGCUCUAUCUUGAACCACUUGCCUCUGCAUUAUUAUUUAUAAUCAACAUUUAAUAAUAGCUCUAAAUGAAGCUCUUUUAUUCCUCAGAUAAGAGGGCCUUUACAUGAUUUUUAACCAAAGUAACCAAGGAUGUUUGAUUAUUCCCUUAAACAACUUCAUCAGCCAUCUCUAUGACUAACACUUACUAUAUGUUCUAUUGUGUUUAUCAUUUGCUUUCCGUUAUUAAGGCAAUAUUGGAAUUAACUCUCCUUUAAGUAGAAUAGAUUGUUACCCAGUGUAACUUCCCAUUCCCCAGCUCUUUCUAAGAGUUUAAAAGUGUCUCAGGGUGGUGUGUUUCAUCACAGAUGUGUUCGCAGCUCUUUGGACUGCUUUGGACUAGUCUCUACAAGGAAGCUGCAUGCAGUUUCCUAAGUGAGGUUUUUCCCAUCUUUCCCAGAGAAACAAAAAAAAAAAACCAAACCCACACAUGCCACCCCAAAAGUAUUGAUGUCACCUGGCAUGAAGCAGAAGUGGUCUCUUCCAGCAUUAGGCAGUCAGAGACCUCUUGGGUGUUUCAUUUCACUUCAACAUCAAUAAGAGGCAGGUCAUCAACAGCAAAGAUCACAAUGCGUGUUUCAACUAAAACUCAUGAAUAAAGCACAGUUCCUCUGAGACUCUGCUCUUAUCAUCAUCAUCAUCAUCAUCAUCAUGGCUAGGCUUCGUGAAUGAAGAUUUGGGAAGGGCUUUACCCACGUUUGUCACAAGCACGCUGAUGGCUAAAAAGGCCAAUACGAGAUAGGCACAUCCAGUUGCAAAAGGCACAGCAGAAAGACUCCU
Molecule: long non-coding RNA, 2383 nt
Organism: Corapipo altera (White-ruffed manakin)
Lineage: Eukaryota; Metazoa; Chordata; Aves; Passeriformes; Pipridae
Exons: 4
Source: RefSeq, a predicted model, not a curated record